Molecule: small nuclear RNA, 318 nt
Filed under: Vicugna pacos (alpaca)
Lineage: Eukaryota; Metazoa; Chordata; Mammalia; Artiodactyla; Camelidae
Description: 7SK RNA (ENSVPAG00000015722.1)
Rfam family: 7SK RNA
About the family: 7SK was discovered as an abundant small nuclear RNA in the mid-70s but a possible function has only recently been suggested.
Source: RNAcentral
GGACGGGCGGUCUGGCUGCGACAUUUGUCACCCCACUGAUCACCGGGGUGGAUUCAGCUGAUCUGGCUGGCUAGGCGGGUGUCCCCUUCCUCCCUAACUGCUCCAUGUGCGUCCCUCCUGAAGCUGCGCUCUCGGUCGAAGAGACGACCAUCCCCGACAGAGGAGGACCUUUCUUCUUCUCGGUCAAGGGUGUAUGAGCAGCUGCACUUCCCUGCUGGACCCUCGAAACAGGCUCUCAGAUUAAAUUACUUUUACCAAAUCUAAAAAUCCCCUCAAAGCCAAUCUGUCAGUAGUAGGCCUGGUGCUCAUAUGUUUAUU